Long non-coding RNA from Perognathus longimembris pacificus (Pacific pocket mouse), 411 nucleotides. RefSeq lists it as uncharacterized. The transcript is spliced from 4 exons. Lineage: Eukaryota; Metazoa; Chordata; Mammalia; Rodentia; Heteromyidae. The record is from RefSeq and is a predicted model, not a curated record.
AUUACAAACAAAAUAUGUUGCCUUUCCUAAGUACAAACACUUAACUUUUGGUGCUUUGUAAGCAGCCUUGGAAAGAUUAUAUAUCUUCAUUCUUUGCCUCGCAUGAGAAGUGGCCAAACUCACAGCCAGGCCCAAAAUGGAAUGCAAGAUUUAACAGAGCACAAAUAUGUGUUCCCUUGAAUCAUACUUAUUACAUUGAGAAUUAGAAGAUGGUUAGUCAAGGUCAAGGUUAGCACAGAAAGGAUUUCCCACUGAGAAGACAAAACAGUACAAGAUACCGUAAUAGAGGGAAACAAGCAGGCCCAAGAAAGAACAAGGCAGCUCAAACAUAAAUGAUGAUUAUAUUCUAGGGAGCCAAAAGGAUUAGGAAUAUUCAUUUCCCAUAGGGACUUCCUCCCUGACCCCAAAUUC